RNAcentral lists this ribosomal RNA (776 nucleotides) under uncultured Neocallimastigales. Its description in RNAcentral is "partial large subunit ribosomal RNA". It matches the Rfam family "Eukaryotic large subunit ribosomal RNA", at positions 23 to 647 of the family's 3401-position model. The record is from RNAcentral. Lineage: Eukaryota; Fungi; Neocallimastigomycota; Neocallimastigomycetes; Neocallimastigales.
AGAGAGAGACAUGCGCGCAUAUCAAUAAGCGGAGGAAAAGAAACUAACAAGGAUUCCCCUAGUAACGGCGAGUGAAGCGGGAAGAGCUCAAAUUUGAAAUCUUAAAGGGUUUCCCUUUACGAAUUGUAGUUUAAAGAAGUGUUUUCUGUUGAGGUUUUGGUAAAGGUUCUUUGGAAUAGGACAUCAUAGAGGGUGAGAAUCCCGUAUUUGACCUUUACUUUCAACUUUGUGAUACACUUUCAAAGAGUCGGAUUGUUUGGGAAUGCAGUCCAAAAUGGGUGGUAAAUUUCAUCUAAAGCUAAAUAUUGGCGAGAGACCGAUAGCGAACAAGUACCGUGAGGGAAAGAUGAAAAGAACUUUGAAAAGAGAGUUAAACAGUACGUGAAAUUGUCAAAAGGGAAGCGUUUGACACCAGUGUUGUUUUUCUGAAAAUCAAUUAAAGAACUGUUUAUGCUAAGUUGUUUAGACUUUAUCAGCUAUCUGUUUAGUUUUGAGCUUUUCUUUAAUGCACUUUUCAGUUAACAAGUCAACAUCAAUUUCUUUUGCUGUAAAAAAGCUUGAGGAAGGUGGCUUGAGAUUCGUCUUAAGUGUUUAUAGCCUCUUGCCUAUGCAGUCGGAGAGAUUGAGGUCUGCAGCGUAGGAUCCUUCGGGGCUAAAUGCAUUUGUGCUAAGUUAUAGCAUUUUAUAGACAACUUGUUGACUAUGAUUUGUCUUGUAGCUUACUCGCUUAUGUUAUUUUACCUACGCUUAGGGAUGUUGACGCAUGAGAUAUACGC